RNAcentral lists this unclassified non-coding RNA (1414 nucleotides) under uncultured Neocallimastigales. RNAcentral's name for it is "partial contains small subunit ribosomal RNA, internal transcribed spacer 1, 5.8S ribosomal RNA, internal transcribed spacer 2, and large subunit ribosomal RNA". The stretch from base 658 to 1414 matches the Rfam family "Eukaryotic large subunit ribosomal RNA", at positions 1 to 617 of the family's 3401-position model. The record is from RNAcentral. Lineage: Eukaryota; Fungi; Neocallimastigomycota; Neocallimastigomycetes; Neocallimastigales.
UUUCCGUAGGUGAACCUGCGGAAGGAUCAUUAAAAAAUAUCACUCGAUUGAGAGUGAUUUAAUAAUCAUCCUACCCUUUGUGAAUUUGUUGUUUGUAAUAAUUUUUUUUGAUUUUAAAAAAAAUUAUUUAUGGUUUUGUCUAUCCCUAAAAUUGGUUUGUUGUGAAAUGAAUCAAAUUUAGGGAAUAGGCUUUCAUAAAUAAGUUUUUUUAAAGUCUUAAAGACCUUUUUAAAAUUAAACUUUUGUAUUCAUUUGUCUAAAUUUUUUUUUAAAUAAUUUAAAAACAACUUUUGACAAUGGAUCUCUUGGUUCUCGCAACGAUGAAGAACGCAGCAAAAUGCGAUAAGUAAUGUGAAUUGCAGAAUACGUGAAUCAUCAAAUCUUCGAACGCAUAUUGCACUUUUUUAGUUUACUAAAAAAGUAUGUCUGUUUGAGUAUCAGUAAAAUAUUCUCAUAAAAACAUUUUUGUUUUUAUGGUUAUGAGUGUUUUACAACGAUAAACAAGUUGUUUCACUUUAAAUUCAUUUUAAUUUAAGACCAUUUUAUGGUUUUAAUAAAAAAUUGGAUAAAAUUUUCCCGUAAAAGGAAUAAACUUUUCAGUUUUUUAAUUAUUACCAACAAGCGGUCCGAUUUAAAAGGAAAUUUAUUUAAAUAACUUGAUCUCAAAUCAGAUAAGAGUACCCGCUGAACUUAAGCAUAUCAAUAAGCGGAGGAAAAGAAACUAACAAGGAUUCCCUUAGUAACGGCGAGUGAAGCGGGAAGAGCUCAAAUUUGAAAUCUUCAAGGUUCUACCUUGACGAAUUGUAGUUUAAAGAAGUGUUUUCUGUUAGAUGAGUAGCAAAAGUUCCUUGGAAUGGGACAUCAUAGAGGGUGAGAAUCCCGUAUUUGGUUAUUCAUUCUAGCUUUGUGAUACACUUUCAAAGAGUCGGAUUGUUUGGGAAUGCAGUCCAAAAUGGGUGGUAAAUUUCAUCUAAAGCUAAAUAUUGGCGAGAGACGAUAGCGAACAAGUACCGUGAGGGAAAGAUGAAAAGAACUUUGAAAAGAGAGUUAAACAGUACGUGAAAUUGUCAAAAGGGAAGCGUUUGACACCAGUGUUGUUUUUCCGAAAAUCAAUUACGAAUGGCUUGAUUUUGUGUUGUAUUGACCUUAUCAGCUUUCUGCACUUUUUUCGAGUCUUUCUUAAUGCACUUUUCGGUUAACAAGUCAACAUCAAUUUCUUUUGUUGUAAAAGAGUAUUCGGAAGGUGGCUUUCUUUUCGGAGAAAGUGUUUAUAGCCCUAUACUUCUACAAUCGGAGAGAUUGAGGUCUGCAGCGUAGAUCCUUCGGGGUUAGAUACAUUUGUGCUAAGUUGUAGCUUUUCAUAGACAACUUGUUGACUAUGUUUAGUCAUGCGGCUUACUCGCUUAUGCUAUUU